RNAcentral lists this long non-coding RNA (1001 nucleotides) under Mytilus galloprovincialis (Mediterranean mussel). Lineage: Eukaryota; Metazoa; Mollusca; Bivalvia; Mytilida; Mytilidae. The record is from RNAcentral.
CCCAUAUGGAAUUUACUGACCCCAUAUAUACCGUAUUACGUCACUAGCACACUAUGUAACUAAUAGUAUUCUUUGUCUAAGGCAUUUAACGUUAUAUAAUACGAAUGCUGCUAUACCCAAUGUUACAACAAUUGCAAUAGAACCUGCAUCCAUACCAAUAUUUUGUUUUUCAUAUUCAAUUGUUUGAGAUAAAUUCGGUGCAGAUUCGUUAUUGCGGAUUUUAUCAUAUGGCUGCACGUUUGGUACUUUUGUUUUCAAAACAUACGAAGAUGUAGAAAAUGUUGUUUUGAUAUUAUCAUGGGUAAACGUUUCUGUUGGCUGCACGGUUGGUCCUUUUGUUUUCCACAUGUUUGGUCCUUUUGUUGUCAACACGUUUGGUCCUUUUGUUGUCAACACGUUUGGUCCUCUGGUUUUCCAUAAGUUUGGUCCUUUUGUUGUCAACACGUUUGGUCCUCUGGUUUUCCAUACGUUUGGUCCUUUUGUUGUCAACACAUUUGGUCCUCUGGUUUUCCAUACGUUUGGUUCUUUUGUUGUCAACAUGUUUGGUCCUCUGGUUUUCCAUACGUUUGGUCCUCUAGUUUUCCAUACGUUUGGUCCUUUUGUUGUCAACACGUUUGGUCCUCUGGUUUUCCAUACGUUUGGUCUCUUUGUUUUCCUAUCAUUAUUUGGUAACUUGAAUUCAUUCUUGGAUUUAGAUAUGCUGUUGGAAGAAACUUGUUCAUUUAAUUUAGAUUUAGAAAAAUGUUCGGACUUAUGGAUUUUUCCUCCUCUACCAUCCAAAACAUCGUUUGGUAAUUUGAAUACAUUUCGGGAUUUUCGUCUCAAGGGAUGUGCUUUCGUCAAAUGAUAUUGUGUAGUACUUAAAAUUAAGUUCCGUCUAAUUGAAGAUUCGUUUUGUAAUCUUGAUUCCGAUAAUACACUUUCCCUUUUUUCUAAUGGAGACUGUUGGGUAACAGGAAGUAACAAGACGAUAAAAACGAUCUCCGUUAUCAUGAUUUCCU